AGUCUUCCACUAGCAGCCUUUGGAUGAAGAUGUAGAACUCUCAGCUCCUCCUGCACCAUGACAGCCUGGAUGCUGCCAUGCUCCCACCUUGAUGGACUGGUUGUUCUAUUUCUGAGAUCUCUGAGACCCAGCCCACCAGGAACACACAAAUGUGGAACCGAGAUAGGCUGAGGACUUAUUAAACAGAAUUCUGCUGUUCCUAUCCCAGGGUUGGACCAAUGUGUAGAAAAUUGCUUAUGGGAUUCUUUGAAUGACUUUUUCAUUGCGGGAAAUAUUAAAAAUGAACCUGCCAACCUU
This 297-nucleotide long non-coding RNA is filed under the name Mus musculus (house mouse). RNAcentral's name for it is "RIKEN cDNA 2500002B13 gene, transcript variant 3 (2500002B13Rik)". Lineage: Eukaryota; Metazoa; Chordata; Mammalia; Rodentia; Muridae. The record is from RNAcentral.